RNAcentral lists this ribosomal RNA (445 nucleotides) under uncultured bacterium. RNAcentral describes it as "SSU rRNA". It matches the Rfam family "Bacterial small subunit ribosomal RNA", at positions 26 to 518 of the family's 1533-position model. The record is from RNAcentral.
AGGGCGAACGCUGGCGGCAGGCCUAACACAUGCAAGUCGAGCGCCCGUAGCAAUACGGGAGCGGCAGACGGGAUAGUAACACGUGGGAACGCGCCCUUCGGUUCGGAAUAACUCAGGGAAACUUGAGCUAAUACCGGAUACGCCCUUACGGGGAAAGAUUUAUUGCCGAAGGAACGGCCCGCGUCCGAUUAGCUAGUUGGUGAGGUAAUGGCUCACCAAGGCGACGAUCGGUAGCUGGUCUGAGAGGAUGACCAGCAUCACUGGGACUGAGACACGGCCCAGACUCCUACGGGAGGCAGCAGUGGGGAAUAUUGGACAAUGGGCGCAAGCCUGAUCCAGCCAUGCCGCGUGGAUGAUGAAGGCCUUAGGGUUGUAAAGUCCUUUUAACGGGGAGAUAAUGACGGUACCGUAGAAUAAGCCCGGCUAACUUCGUGCCAGCAGCCGC